UACGUAGGGUGCUAGCGUUGUUCGGAAUCACUGGGCGUAAAGCGCGUGUAGGCGGCCUGUUAAGUCUGAUGUGAAAGCCCGGGGCUCACCCCCGGAAGUGCAUUGGAAACUGCCAGGCUCGAGUCCCGGAGAGGAGGGUGGAAUUCCUGGUGUAGCGGUGAAAUGCGCAGAUAUCAGGAGGAACACCGGUGGCGAAGGCGGUUCGCUGGGCCUGUACUGACGCUGAGGAACGAAAGCGUGGGGAGCGAACAGG
RNAcentral lists this ribosomal RNA (253 nucleotides) under uncultured bacterium. RNAcentral's name for it is "partial 16S ribosomal RNA". It matches the Rfam family "Bacterial small subunit ribosomal RNA", at positions 524 to 776 of the family's 1533-position model. The record is from RNAcentral.